UGGGGAAUUUUGGACAAUGGGCGCAAGCCUGAUCCAGCCAUGCCGCGUGUGUGAAGAAGGCCUUCGGGUUGUAAAGCACUUUCGGACGGAACGAAAUCGCGCGCAUGAACAAUGCGCGUGGAUGACGGUACCGUAAGAAGAAGCACCGGCUAACUACGUGCCAGCAGCCGCGGUAAUACGUAGGGUGCAAGCGUUAAUCGGAAUUACUGGGCGUAAAGGGUGCGCAGGCGGCCCCGCAUGUCAGGCGUGAAAUCCCCGGGCUUAACUUGGGAAUGGCGCUUGAAACUACGGGGCUGGAGUGUGGCAGAGGGAGGUGGAAUUCCACGUGUAGCGGUGAAAUGCGUAGAGAUGUGGAGGAACACCGAUGGCGAAGGCAGCCUCCUGGGCCAACACUGACGCUCAUGCACGAAAGCGUGGGGGAGCGAAACAGGAUUAGAUACCCUGGUAGUCCACGCCCUAAACGAUGACGACUAGUUGUGGGGG
This 483-nucleotide ribosomal RNA is filed under the name uncultured Pseudomonadota bacterium. RNAcentral's name for it is "bacterial SSU rRNA". It matches the Rfam family "Bacterial small subunit ribosomal RNA", at positions 355 to 828 of the family's 1533-position model. The record is from RNAcentral. Lineage: Bacteria; Pseudomonadati; Pseudomonadota.